UCUCCACAGUCCCUGAAGACACUGACUCUAACCAUGGAAUUCAGCAGGAUCUUUCUCUUCCUCCUGUCAGUAACUGCAGGUGUUCACUCCCAGGCUUAUCUACAGCAGUCUGGGUUUGAGCUGGUGAGGCCUGGGGCCUCAGUGAAGAUGUCCUGCAAGGCUUCUGGCUAUACAUUUACCAGUUACAAUAUGCACUGGGUAAAGCAGAGACCUGGACAGGGCCUGGAAUGGAUUGGAUAUAUUUAUCCUGGAAAUGGUGGUACUGUCUACAAUCAGAAGUUCAAGGGCAAGGCCAUAUUGACUGCAGACACAUCCUCCAGCACAGCCUACAUGCAGCUCAGCAGCCUGAACUCUGAGGACUCUGCCGUCUAUUUCUGUGCAAGCACAGUGUUAUGAC
Non-coding RNA from Mus caroli (Ryukyu mouse), 397 nucleotides. Lineage: Eukaryota; Metazoa; Chordata; Mammalia; Rodentia; Muridae. The record is from the annotation of a RefSeq genome assembly.